Neofelis nebulosa (Clouded leopard) is the source of this 952-nucleotide long non-coding RNA. RefSeq lists it as uncharacterized. The record is from RefSeq and is a predicted model, not a curated record. The transcript is spliced from 2 exons. Lineage: Eukaryota; Metazoa; Chordata; Mammalia; Carnivora; Felidae.
ACGCCUUCCUAAGCAAUAAGGAUUAUGCAGGGGGAAGAGGGGUUGUGACAAGUAGUGUGCUACUUAUUGUACAGCUAAAUAUAUAAAUUCAGCUUUAAAAAAAUUCACCUGGCUUGAUACAAGACAAGGAUUUAAGGUUACAAAAACAAAAACAAACAAGCGAGCAAAGCAACACCACCACCGCCCUGGGUUCUCAUUAAUGAUAAAUGCCUUAUAUUAUCCAAAUUGUAAAAAAAAACAAAAAACAAACAACAACAACAACAAAACCCAGGCGCUCCCAACCAGACUGCAAACUGUGGCCUGGCACACCUUGGGAUUACGUCUCUCAUUUGUGUGGUUGCAUAGCAGGCACAUCUUACGUGAAUCCAAGUCUUAAUGCUUGAAGGGGAAACAGACUUAUAAAGUUAUCUACAUAGCGGCAGCCAUUUCUUCCAGCAUUCUGCACCAGUGCGCCCCCAGAGUAUCCUCAGAUGAGAGGCAUGGAUCUGUGGCUGUCACCAGCAUGUCACAGUGGGUGUGAUUCCAGUCUUUAAAAACACGUAUUUUUCAUUCGCCAGGGCCCAUAAAUGGCAGCCAGCCACUUCAUCUGGACGUCAGGCAAGGAAACAGCGAUCAGGAGUAAUUCUGAACAGCUGCAAUUUCUACCUUAGUCACAACUGUAAAUCCUAACCUUACUCAACCGCACUGUACCAGAGACAGAGCAUGAGCAGGGGAGGGGCGGAGAGAGAAGGAGAUACAGAGUCUGAAGCGGGCUCCAGGCUCCGAGCUGUCAGCACAGAGCCCAACGCGGGCCCGAACCCACGGACUGUGAGAUCAUGACCUGAGCCGAAGUCGGACGCUGAACUGACUGAGCCACCCAGGCGCCCCGUGCUUUGCAAAUAUUCUUAAUAGCAGAAACUAUUAGUGUUACCCAUUAACCUAAAAUAAUUACUACAUUAAACGCUUGCAUGUA